UACGGGAAGGCAGCAGUGGGGAAUAUUGGACAAUGGGCGAAAGCCUGAUCCAGCCAUGCCGCAUGAGUGAAGAAGGCCUUCGGGUUGUAAAGCUCUUUUAGUGAGAAAGAUAAUGACGGUACUCACAGAAGAAGUCCUGGCUAACUCCGUGCCAGCAGCCGCGGUAAUACGGAGAGGGCUAGCGUUAUUCGGAAUUACUGGGCGUAAAGGGCACGCAGGCGGUUAAUUAAGUUGGAUGUGAAAUCCCCGGGCUUACCUGGGAAUGGCAUUCAAGACUGGUUAGCUAAGAGUCUUGUAGAGGGGGUAGAAUUCCAUGUGUAGCGGUGAAAUGCGUAGAGAUGUGGAGGAAUACCGGUGGCGAAGGCGGCCCCUGGCAAAGCUGACGCUCAUGUGCGAAAGCGUGGGGAGCGAAACAGGGAUUAGAUACC
RNAcentral lists this ribosomal RNA (428 nucleotides) under uncultured bacterium. RNAcentral's name for it is "bacterial SSU rRNA". It matches the Rfam family "Bacterial small subunit ribosomal RNA", at positions 340 to 786 of the family's 1533-position model. The record is from RNAcentral.